AGGGACAUUGCGAAGCAAACUCACAGUUAUAUUUCUGAGUUGAACGGGAUCAAAGGGAUGAGACUUACUGCUCAGUCUACUGAAGGAGCGAUACAGGAAAGAAGAAGAUCAGAAGUCACAAUCUCUUUCGACGCGGCCUUUGACCAACAAGUCUUCAGACAUUGUUAGUACACGACGCAGAAGGAAAAAUUUUAGCAUCCAAAACGACCAUCCACUCCGAAAUCGCAAAUCCAUUUGUGGCAGAGGCUCAUGUAGGGUUACAAGCAGUCAAGUUAGGGAUAUUCUUGGGGCUUAAUAAACUAGAAAUUUUGGGAGAUUCAAAGACCGUAAUUAAAAAAUGCCAGAGCAUAAAUACAGACAAAUCGAACAUCGGUGCGAUUAUCAGAGAUAUUCAACAUAAGAAAGACAGUUUUCAAGAGAUAAAGUUUCACUUCAUACCCAGAACAGAAAAUUUUCAUGCUCAUACUCUAGCGAAAAAGGCGUUAAAGAGAGGAGAUGACCAUUACCUGGUAGGAGAACUUCCAGAAUUUGCUCGCCAAACUUUGGAGGAAUGGAGGCCUAGAGAACCGAAUUGAGAGAAAAUGAAGAUUAAUGAUUGUUUGAAAGAGGUAGUAGGAAAAAUUAAUUGAUUCCCUUGGAAACUGCUACCGUCAUAAUGUUGG
This 662-nucleotide long non-coding RNA is filed under the name Gossypium barbadense (sea-island cotton). RNAcentral's name for it is "long non-coding RNA (GBAR_LNC003935)". The record is from RNAcentral. Lineage: Eukaryota; Viridiplantae; Streptophyta; Magnoliopsida; Malvales; Malvaceae.